Molecule: ribosomal RNA, 639 nt
Filed under: Triticum aestivum (bread wheat)
Lineage: Eukaryota; Viridiplantae; Streptophyta; Magnoliopsida; Poales; Poaceae
Description: partial small subunit ribosomal RNA
Source: RNAcentral
AUGGAGCAGAAACGAGUAGGGAAACCAAGAAGCUCAACGUGCCAUCAGCCUUCAUCUUUACAAAUAGUAGCCAUCGCGAUGGGUCUAUAUACAAGAACUCGUGUCUCGACAUAUUUCGCGUCAAAUACCGUGGUGAGAGGAUCUCUCAUUGAGAUGACUGGCCCUAAGAGGGGCAUCACAAUGACCAGCCCUGUUCUAGUUGAGUAUGACAUGAGGAUCAAGAAAGGGGAGCAAGAAGAAUAUGAUCUACAAUUAAUUGAUGGUGCAACAGACUUCUGCGAAGUAACCACACCUUCUCAUCCAUUCACGAGUCGGAUUAAUGGCGAUUGUGGUGCGGUUGACAUCACUUUAGCACACGUUGUCAAUGCAGUGGAGGCCACAAUAGAUGUUAUCGUAUCAGAAGUGCGGAGUGGAUUCAAUUUAUCUCUCAGUUUGUAUGUGUUUGUAGGUGGGUCAUAUCAGGGAAUCGAGCUCCUGUGUGACAUUAUUGGUGAGUCAUGUGUCAUAACAAGAAGAUAUGUGAUUGCUGUAGAGAUGGAUAGUUGGAUGCAUUUGAAGCUCAAGGUAGGCCAGGAAGGGUCUAAAUAUGGUGAACGUCAUUGUCGUUUCAAAGCAAACCUCCAUGAAUUUGCGCGUUGA